RNAcentral lists this ribosomal RNA (227 nucleotides) under uncultured Ideonella sp. Its description in RNAcentral is "partial 16S ribosomal RNA". It matches the Rfam family "Bacterial small subunit ribosomal RNA", at positions 125 to 354 of the family's 1533-position model. Lineage: Bacteria; Pseudomonadati; Pseudomonadota; Betaproteobacteria; Burkholderiales; Sphaerotilaceae. The record is from RNAcentral.
CGUGCCCAGUUGUGGGGGAUAGCCCGGCGAAAGCCGGAUUAAUACCGCAUACGACCUGAGGGUGAAGGCGGGGGAUCGCAAGACCUCGCGCAAUUGGAGCGGCCGAUGUCAGAUUAGCUAGUUGGUGGGGUAAAGGCCUACCAAGGCGACGAUCUGUAGCUGGUCUGAGGGGACGACCAGCCACACUGGGACUGAGACACGGCCCAGACUCCUACGGGAGGCAGCAG